GGCCAGCUAGCUUAGUUGGUAGAGUAUUGUGCUAAUGAUGCGAAGGUCUUAGGUUCGAUCCCCACACUGGCCA
RNAcentral lists this transfer RNA (73 nucleotides) under Laccaria amethystina LaAM-08-1. It matches the Rfam family "tRNA". From Rfam's summary of the family: Transfer RNA (tRNA) molecules are approximately 80 nucleotides in length. Their secondary structure includes four short double-helical elements and three loops (D, anti-codon, and T loops). Lineage: Eukaryota; Fungi; Basidiomycota; Agaricomycetes; Agaricales; Hydnangiaceae. The record is from Rfam by way of RNAcentral.